CUUCAUGUUUGACUCAUCCGACAUGACAUGAGGACAGAAAACAGACUGGAACCGCGCGCACGGGUACUCCGGCGGCGCGCUGCAGCGGAGGAGCUGCGCCUCCUUCAUCGUUAGACGCGCCGGCCUGAAGUAUGAGAAGGAUUCAGCAGUAUGGAUGUUCUUUACCUGUUUGCGAUGCACUUGGGGGCCGCGCUGGCCUGGAUCGCCUUUGUGGUGCCUGUGCUGCCGCUGGAAUUCACCACAACCUGCCGGCUGGGAAAUAACACAGACCAUGUUGAGGGCCCUGUGAAAAUAGUCCCACACCAGGACACCACGUCGGGCUACUCUGAAUGCAUCGCUGUUCACGUUUGGAUGAAGGCUGAAGGUACAAACCAAAGCCCGCCCUGCUGUCUUACACAAACAGGAUUAAUCCAUGCAUUACCUCAUCUCUGAGCUGUCGGUGAGACAGCUGUCUGACACGGUGUGACACUCUGUUUUCUUCCAGACUUUUGUAACUCCCCUGUGAUCAAAAUUGAGCUGACAAAAAAACUCCACAGUUUUUGGGACACUUCUUUGCGCCCAAGAUGGAGAGAGGUUGGACCUGUUUCCUUUUCACCUGCAGUCUUUCAAAUGCAUGAUGUUGACGUCUGAGGUUAUGUCAUUCUUGUGUAUGUAUAGUGCAAAAAAAGAGGAAGAGGAAAGAAAAACUGCGUCUUUUGUAUGAACUCAGGGCAGUUUCCAUGCAGCACCCCCCAUCAUCAGGUAAAAUGUUCUGUUGGUUUCUUGAUAACUCAUUAAGGAUGGUUUUAUGAAUUUAAUUCUGACUAUGGUUGUGUGUUCUUUUUUCAGUGGGAGCUGGUACAUGACUGUGUCCAAGCCAAAGCUAGACGAACCCUUACUGUGACCUACAGCACAAGAAAAGCAAACUACAGUGUUAAUUACACAGUGCCAGGUGGAGUAUUUAGAGUAUUUGGCUUUUCUUUGCACACAUGUGCCCUUUUACUGCUUUGCACAACCAGUAAUUCAGAGGGGAGAAAGAAAACAGUGGCCCUUCUUUAACAAGAAUCUGAAGGGUUAAGCACAAUGUUUUCAACAAAAUUUAUAUAUAAUACAUUUAUACACACAGUUUUUAACAUGAGUAUCACAUCCGUCAGGAAUAGACUCUAUGGCGCCACUAUACAGUCAUGUUCGAAAGUUAGAACUCUUUAAAUUCCAUGUUCACUCCUGCACAGCCCCUAAGGUCCAGCCCUGCACGGUGCCUCCACCGCCAUGCUUGAUGGAGGGACACCUGCUGAUUGAAUUCAACAAGGGCUGAUGAUCAGCAGCACCUGCUGCAGCUCACCAAAAGAUAGAAAUACUUUAUUCAUCCUAAACUGUGAAACUUCACUUCCCACACACAGCAUAUUAUACACACUGUAGAUCUAUAUAAGGUAAGAAACAACAAUAUAAAAACUGAUUUACAAAAAAUAAAGAUAAAGGGAUAUACAAGGUACAUACAACAUACAAUACAAUAGAAUAAAUAUGUGCAAUUUGAAAAACUAAACCGUGUUCAGUCUCACACUCACACCUACCUAUUAACCUAACAAACACCUCUUUAGAAGAGCACCCAGAGAAAACCCACGCUGGCACAAGGAGCAUGUGCAAACUCCACAGAAACCUCCAGUCAGAACUGAACCAGGAACCUUCUUGCUGUGACGCAACAGUGCUAACCACAGCACCAGGGUGCUGCCCGUUAAGUAAAUAAUGGCACAGGGACAAAAUGUGUAUGUUGUUGUUCAUCUAAGGCUGGAUUUGAGUAAUAAAAGAACAAAGAACAAUGACGAGAAUUAAAGAC
Parambassis ranga (Indian glassy fish) is the source of this 1813-nucleotide long non-coding RNA. Lineage: Eukaryota; Metazoa; Chordata; Actinopteri; Ambassidae. The record is from Ensembl.